UACGUAGGGGGCGAGCGUUGUCCGGAGUUACUGGGCGUAAAGCGCACGCAGGCGGUCUGUUAAGUUUGGAGUGACAGUUGGUGGCUUAACUGCCAAAGUGCUUCGAAAACUGACAGACUUGAGGGCUUCAGAGGGACACGGAAUUCCGGGUGGAGUGGUGAAAUGCGUAGAGAUCCGGAGGAACACCAAAGGCGAAGGCAGUGUCCUGGGGAGUACCUGACGCUC
Molecule: ribosomal RNA, 225 nt
Filed under: uncultured bacterium
Lineage: Bacteria
Description: partial 16S ribosomal RNA
Rfam family: Bacterial small subunit ribosomal RNA
Source: RNAcentral